This 3512-nucleotide long non-coding RNA is filed under the name Aotus nancymaae (Ma's night monkey). RNAcentral describes it as "lncRNA (ENSANAG00000039422.1)". Lineage: Eukaryota; Metazoa; Chordata; Mammalia; Primates; Aotidae. The record is from RNAcentral.
GCGCAGUGAGUGCCUCCCGUCUCUUCUACCCGAACCCCCCCUUCCCCCCAAGCAGAGAGACCCCAGCAGCAGCAGCAGCUGAUGAUGAAGAGGGAGGCAGUGGCAGAGGGGGGGCACCUUUUAUUUCUAUUUUUAAAGGGACAGGACACUAAUUCUACCCCACUUCAACCUUGAAUUGAGGGGGGUGGGGGGAAGGUGGCUGAGUUCCUUCCCCCACCCUCCAGCCCUGAGCCCAGAGAGGGGGAUUGAGCCUGAGAGAGAAGGAGAAGGAGUUUCUUCUUCUUCGAAAAUCCCCAUCCACGACUCCUACCCCCUCACCCCUCCAACUCGCCUCCCUCCCGAGCCCCCUCCACCCUCCUCUUUGGCCGUGAGAGGAGGAGAGAAAGAAACCAAAAGCCUCUUAGCAACACAGACCCUUUGCUGCUGCUGCUGCUGCUGCUGCUGUUGCUGCUGCUGCUGCUGCUACUGCUGCUGCUGCUGCUGCUGCUGCUUGGCCCUGGCUGGAGACAUCUCACUACACCCAGGAGCAGCCACUUCCCCAGCUCUCCUCCUCCUCCUUCGCCUCCUCCUCCUCCACUCCCCCCCUUUAUUACCCUUUGUGUCAUCCUCCACAGCUCCAGGGAAGGCACUCAAAAGUGGGGGGCAGGAAAGAUGUACAUUGAAGAUGUCAGUUUCUACAUGUGGGAAGUAGACAUUGAAGGCUUUAUGGUUUACAGACAAGAUCUUUAGAAGUUAAGCACUAAAGGACCAAGGAAAUAAAUACCAGAAAUCAAGAGCACAGACUAUUUUCCUUCAUCAAUCCAUAGAACCCUAAUACUUCUCUUCCAUCAAACACAGAGGAAUGACCACCAUGACAGAUGGCAACAGAUGAUGUCAACAAUUUUUUGGAGGCAAGCAAUGAAAUAUUUCUACUAUGAGUUUUCUGUUAUUAAUUAUGUAGAAACAAAUAGAAUUAUAUUGGGUUUUAAUUGAAAAUGAAAAGUAUUAUUUACCAUCAAAAUUUUUAUGUACAUAGCUAUUUCUUUUCUUUUCUUUCUCUCUCUCUCUUUUAACACUAUUGCAUGUCAGAAAUUACAUUAAGAUGCAUUUGCCUUUACCUCUGGAGUAACAGAUAGAAUAAAGCUAUCUUAAAUACCUAAAUACAGAACAAGGAUUUAAAUAACAGAAAUUAAGUACCUAUAUUUGAAAACAGGGCUUUUUUAUAUCUCUCUUGGACACCUAUAUAACUGUAAAUUUAGAGUUAGUCAUACUAUUUAUGAAUUUUAUAUAGUUAAAGGUAUUCCAGCAUUUUUCCUCCCUUUUCUUUAACAACUAAUCUAAAGUGCUCCAAAAUCCUGGGAAGCCAUCCCUUUACAACUCUUACAGCUUUAUAAUUUGUGAUAAUUCUGCAUCAAAAUAUUUGCUUGAACUUUUAGUUAAUUCUAUGACAACUCCUAUUGCCCCUGAAAGAGCAGUUGGGCAAGGAUUGUGGACCACAAUGCCACCUUCAAAUUUCAAAUUAAUUACAUUACCUUUAAAAGAAAAGCUCACUUGGAAAGAAAUUGACCAUGUAUUUUUUUAAAUGUUUAAGGAAUCUGCCUUCUUUUCUGCAUUCAUGAAAAGUAAAGACCUAAGUAGAUGAAAAUAAAGUUAAAUGAAAAUAUAAACUUUUAAAAAUUUACAUUGAAUUCACUAAAAUGUAAUCUUUCAGGGGAUUUUUUACGAGGAAACUAUAUAUAUAUAUGCUUAGAAUUUUUUAUUUAGUGUUAAUUCAACUUAUUGACCUAAGGUCAUCCAUAAAAACGUGUCUGCUUUUUAAGUUUCACAUAAGAGGAAUGCUUUCUAUAAAUAAAGGAGAUGAUAAAUGUUUAAAAAGCCCAGUGUAGAGAUUCUGAGUUUUCUUUCAGUAACUAGAGUCAAAAUUAAUUCUUGCUUUUCUGUUGGGGAAAAUUUCAUCUAAUUACAUUCAAUUUAUUCUGCAACUUUUUGGACAGCAAAUCCUGAUGGCCAAAGAAAAAGCAGCUGUGUUGCUCUUGCCUUGCAAUUAUAACAAUAGUAUUAUUAUGCAGUCACCAGAGUUUGUGGAACCAUGAAGUGGUUAUAUCCACUGGCUGUUUUCUGGCAGAGGUACACCUAAACCUUUCUGAACUCCUGAUAAUGUAUGCCUUUUGCUUGUAAGGAUCUUCAAAGAAAUAGAUUCCACUGCUUCCUUCAGCAAGCCAAUUUAGUAUAACGGCUCUCAGAAGCAGAAAAUUCUUUCUUAUAACCCUGUGUGCAUCUUAUUAACUGUUUCUAAAACUUAUUUUGCUAGGAUUGCAUUUUAAAUAUUAUUUAAAUAUUGUCUUAGGUUGGUAUAAUCCACUUAAGUAUUUUUAAAAGCUACUAAAAAUUGACCAUUGUUUAAUUAGUAGAAAUAUUCUCAUAAACCAUGCUUCCUCAUAAGUAGUCUACAUUUGUCCCUAGGUAUCUGCAGGGGAUUGAUUCCAGAACCCCCAUGAAUACCAAAAUCCAGGGAUGUUCAAGCCCCUUAUAUGAAAUGGUGCAGUAUUUGCAUGUAACUCACGUAUAUCCUCCUUAUACUUUAAAUCAUCUUGAUAUUACUUAUGCUACCUAAUAUGUAAAUAGUUGUUAUACUUUAUUUUUUUACUCUGAUUAUUUUUUAUUGUUGUCAUGUUAUUUUUAUUGUCGUUUUUCUGAAUAUAUUUGGUCCAAGAUUGCUUGAAUUUUUAGAUGCAAAACCUGAAGUACAGAAGACUGACUAUACUAUCAAAUUUCUUUUUCUUACGUAAACUUUUCUAACUCAUCCACAUAUAUCUUAUUUUGACCUUCAGUUUUUCUUUAACCAGUAGAAUAUACCAGUGGUAGAUAGCUUUAUUGAGAAUCAAGCCCUUUGUUCUUUAUUAAUUUUAUUUGUGACCAUGUAAUUAAUAAGACACAGAUAUUUGUCAUUCUAAUCCAAAAUGUUAUUUCAUUUUUAUUUUCCAUGUUUUUAGGGAAAGUUAUACUGGUAAAAACUUCUAGAGAGGCAGUUGAACAUAGGUAUGAUUUAUAAGAAUGCUACAGGCAUACCUCAGAGAUAUUGUAGGUAUGGUUCCAGACUAUCACAAUAACGCAAGCCAUACAUUUUUUUCCCAGUGCAUAUGCAAGUUAUCUUUGCACUAUUCUUUAACCUAUUCAGUGUGUAAUUGCAUUAUGUCUUUAAAAAACAAUGCAUAUACCUUAAUUUUAAAAUAGUUUGCUAAGAAAAAGGGAGGUUCUUUCAGGACUUGGGGGGACAGGGUCUCAUUCUCUCUUCCAUGCUGGAGUGCAGUGGUGCAUUCAUGGCUCACUGCUGCCUCAACUUCCUGGGCUCAAGUGAUUCUCCCACCUCAGCUUCCCAAAUAGCUGGGAAUACAGGCAUGCAUCGUCACACCAGGCUAAUUUUUAUAUUUUUUGUAGAGAUAGGGUUUUGCCAUGUUGCCCAGGCUGGUCUUGAACCCCUGGGCUCAAGCAAUCUGCCUACCAUUGCCUCCCAAAGUGCUAGAAUUACAGGC